This is a long non-coding RNA of Capsicum annuum, 535 nucleotides long. RefSeq lists it as uncharacterized. The record is from RefSeq and is a predicted model, not a curated record. Lineage: Eukaryota; Viridiplantae; Streptophyta; Magnoliopsida; Solanales; Solanaceae. The transcript is spliced from 2 exons.
AAAUAGAUCAAAUUUGAUAUUUUGUUAAAAAGUGAUCAGUCCGAUAAAGUAUUUUUACUUUAUAGCCAUUUCUUAAUUUAGAAGGGAGUUUUGGAGUAACUGGUAAAGUUGCAGCCAUGUGACCAGGAGGUCACGAAUUCAAGCCUUGGAAACAGCCUCUGGCAGAAAUGCAAGUUCAAAUUUGAUACUGUGGACUUUACGUGGAACUUAAGAUGUCAAGAACACCAACCAAUCCCGGAAGAAUAUUUUGGGGUUGUCAAAAAUAUCAGGUUGGUAGUAAUUGUGGAUUCUUUCGAUGGGCCGAUGAAAAUGAAUAAUAUAAAGGUAGACAUCGAAGGCAACGAAGACAACAAGGACUGGAAAGAUAUGAAAGGCACGGAAGACUUAAAAGACCAAGUAUUAGUAUUGACAUCAUUGUUAUCAUUAUUGUUGUCAUAUGGAUUCUAUCUGUUGUAUUAUUUAAGAUGGCUUGAUCUAUGUAGUUGGUAUGUACAAUGAAAUGAAAUUAAAAUUUAAUGACAAACACCAUUGCCAA